Molecule: microRNA precursor, 206 nt
Organism: Oryza sativa Japonica Group (Japanese rice)
Lineage: Eukaryota; Viridiplantae; Streptophyta; Magnoliopsida; Poales; Poaceae
Rfam family: MIR812 microRNA precursor family
Source: Rfam
UUUAAGUGCAACCAUGAGUUUCCGUGACCAAGUUUGAUCAUCCGUCUUUAUUUGAAAUUUUUUUAUAAUUAGUAUUUUUGUUGUUACGAGAUGAUAAAACAUGAAUAUUACUUUACUCGUGACUUAUGUUUUUAAUUUUUUUUAAAAUUUUUUCAAAUAAGACGGACGAUCAAAAUUGGGCGUGGAAAACUAUGGCUGCACUUAAG